Molecule: ribosomal RNA, 253 nt
Filed under: uncultured bacterium
Lineage: Bacteria
Description: partial 16S ribosomal RNA
Rfam family: Bacterial small subunit ribosomal RNA
Source: RNAcentral
UACGUAGGUGGCGAGCGUUAUCCGGAAUUACUGGGCGUAAAGCGCACGCAGGCGGUCUUUUAAGUUUGACGUGAAAGCUCCCGGCUUAACUGGGAGAGGUCGUUGAAGACUGGAAGGCUUGAGGCAAUGAGAGGGGUGUAGAAUUCCCGGUGUAGUGGUGGAAUGCGUAGAUAUCGGGGGGAAUACCAGUGGCGAAAGCGGCACCCUAGCGUUAGCCUGACGCUCAUGUGCGAAAGCGUGGGGAGCGAACGGG